Molecule: transfer RNA, 72 nt
Filed under: Dreissena polymorpha
Lineage: Eukaryota; Metazoa; Mollusca; Bivalvia; Myida; Dreissenidae
Description: transfer RNA threonine (anticodon UGU)
Rfam family: tRNA
About the family: Transfer RNA (tRNA) molecules are approximately 80 nucleotides in length.
Source: Rfam by way of RNAcentral
GCCUCCAUAGCUCAGUGGCAGAGCACUGGUCUUGUAAACCAGGGGUCGUGAGAUCGUUCCUCACUGGGAGUG